This 478-nucleotide ribosomal RNA is filed under the name uncultured bacterium. RNAcentral's name for it is "partial 16S ribosomal RNA". It matches the Rfam family "Bacterial small subunit ribosomal RNA", at positions 28 to 507 of the family's 1533-position model. The record is from RNAcentral.
GACGAACGCUGGCGGCGUGCUUAACACAUGCAAGUCGAACGGGAUUUAGUAGACAGAAGCCUCGGCUAAAGAUUACUAAUGAGAGUGGCGAACGGGUGAGUAACGCGUGAGCAACCUGCCUAUGACAGUGGGAUAGCCUCGGGAAACCGGGAUUAAUACCGCAUAAAAUCGUAGAAACACAUGUUUCAACGGUCAAAGAUUUAUCGGUCAUAGAUGGGCUCGCGUCUGAUUAGCUAGUUGGUGAGAUAACAGCCCACCAAGGCGACGAUCAGUAGCCGGUCUGGGAGGAUGAACGGCCACAUUGGAACUGAGACACGGUCCAAACUCCUACGGGAGGCAGCAGUGGGGAAUAUUGCACAAUGGGGGAAACCCUGAUGCAGCGACGCCGCGUGAACGAAGAAGGUAUUCGUAUCGUAAAGUUCUGUCCUAUGGGAAGAUAAUGACAGUACCAUAGAAGAAAGCUCCGGCUAAAUACGUG